Molecule: ribosomal RNA, 254 nt
Filed under: uncultured bacterium
Lineage: Bacteria
Description: partial 16S ribosomal RNA
Rfam family: Bacterial small subunit ribosomal RNA
Source: RNAcentral
CACGCAGGGCGCAAGCGUUGUCCGGAAUUAUUGGGCGUAAAGAGCUCGUAGGCGGUCUGUUGCGUCGAGCGUGAAAACUUGGGGCUUAACCCUGAGCUUGCGGUCGAUACGGGCAUGACUGGAGUUCGGCAGGGGAGACUGGAAUUCCUGGUGUAGCGGUGAAAUGCGCAGAUAUCAGGAGGAACACCGGUGGCGAAGGCGGGUCUCUGGGCCGAUACUGACGCUGAGGAGCGAAAGCGUGGGGAGCGAACAGG